AAUCUGGGGACAACGCUGCGGGCAUCGAGGCGGUGGCGCUUGAUUUCCUUUAAAGUACCUACCACGCCACCCGCUACCUGUAAUAAUCCAUCUGAAGAGGUCGCCGGGCAGCGCCUCGGCAGACAGACUGACCUGCGGGGAGGUGCGGUUUCCAGUGGCGCGGGACAGCCGGCUCCGAGAAGGAACUGGGACCUUUGCCUAGGGCAAGACGUCAACAGGAACCCGCAGGCCCGGCCUGGACACCUGCUGCCCUCACUGGAAGCUUUAACUCCCACUCGAGUCUCUUGGCGUCGUCAGUGCCAGGAGCGCUUGGAUUGGGAUGGGGACGGAGAAGGGUGCCUCGCUCGCCGAGCCCCGCUGCCCUUGGGGACCUGGCAAAGUCGAGGUUUCCUCACAGCGUUGAGAUUGAGACUGGGGGUCGGCAGCACUGAGAAGUGAAGGAAUAUUUGGGAGGAUCAGAAGCUUGGUCCUGAUUUUGCCAUCAACAGGAACUUGAUGACUUCAAGGGAGUCCCCAAACCCUGGGUUUCUGUUUUCUCAACUCUAACAUGAGGGGCUAGAUGCAUCUGGUUUAGUUAGUCUCCAUGAUGGUUUAGUUCGUCUCCAUGAUCCUGUGAAUUUCAGAUGUUGAAAAUCUUCGGAAAAGCCCUGAAAGAUGAACAGUGGUCUCAAAUAGUCAAGACCCCCUGCUGGGAGGAGCUUCUAUCCUGCUCUGUGGAAGAAAUGGGCAUGCCAGAUGCCUGGAAGAUCAGAGGCUCACAUUCCAGUUCAAAGUUAGAGAAACCUGAGAGGGGUGUACUGGUAUGACCACCCGAGAUCCCAUCGCUGAGAAAGAUAAUGGCCCUGGAGACAAAGACUGAUGAAGAAAGACAGUAUCCAGCUGUGAUGCAGAUGAAACAUGCGGCAUGGUUGCACUCACUAUGCAGCCAAGGCUGGAAGCCACUCUGGAUCCAGCCACUCUGGCACAGCGUUCUUGCUCUAGGAAGAACAACUGAACAUGGCCACACAGGCCUCACAGCUGGCAUAUGGAGGCUGUUAAUAAGCUGAGCUUGAGGCUUCAAAGGACUCUUGUAGCCUGUGCUGGAUCUAGCAGUGACCAGUAUGCCAG
Molecule: long non-coding RNA, 1107 nt
Filed under: Homo sapiens (human)
Lineage: Eukaryota; Metazoa; Chordata; Mammalia; Primates; Hominidae
Description: non-protein coding CYP1B1-AS1:38
Source: RNAcentral